Malurus melanocephalus (red-backed fairy wren) is the source of this 415-nucleotide long non-coding RNA. RefSeq lists it as uncharacterized. The record is from RefSeq and is a predicted model, not a curated record. The transcript is spliced from 3 exons. NCBI's taxonomy places the organism in Eukaryota, Metazoa, Chordata, Aves, Passeriformes, Maluridae.
GUGGAAUGGGUUGCCCGAAGAAGAUGUGGAUGCCUCAUCCCUGGCUUUGAGCAACAUGACCUAGUGGAAGUUGUCCUUGCUCAUGGCAGGGGUGUUGGAAGGAGAUGACCUUUAAUGUCCCUUCCAACCCAAACCAUUCUAYRGUUCUGUGAUUCCUUCURUCCCACAUGGCUGCUUUCCAAGAUUGUCAUCCUACUUUAGCUACAUCAGUACAACCAAGCAGAGUAAAGAGAGUGAGUGGGUCGAUACAAAGUUUGGCCAGCUGUCCUCUUCUAUAAAGCAUGAGGAUCAUCGUUGAGAUUCUAGAAGGACAGGCUUCGGCAAGUUGUCUCCUGGCAAAGAGUCUCUGGAAGAAAUAUCAUGUAACCACGAACUGGUGACUAAAACUAUGUGAGGACUGGUGCUUACUACAGCU